GGAGAGAUGGCUGAGUGGUCGAAAGCGCCCGCCUGCUAAGUGGGUAGGGGACCUUAAAUCCUCUCUCGGGUUCGAAUCCCGAUCUCUCCGCCA
This 93-nucleotide transfer RNA is filed under the name Armatimonadota bacterium. RNAcentral's name for it is "Armatimonadetes bacterium (activated sludge metagenome) tRNA-Ser". It matches the Rfam family "tRNA". Rfam says of the family: Transfer RNA (tRNA) molecules are approximately 80 nucleotides in length. Their secondary structure includes four short double-helical elements and three loops (D, anti-codon, and T loops). The record is from RNAcentral. Lineage: Bacteria; Bacillati; Armatimonadota.